UUUAGGGAGACCCAAAUCAAUUCAAAAGAAUUCAUAAUUUUGAAUUGAUGUAUCCCUCGGUCGGUCGAGGAAAAGCUGUUGGCUUUCAAACUAUGAUUGGUUCGCUCCAAGUCGCACUAAGACAACCGAACAACAAAGUACGGUUGUGAGUAGGCAAACAGUCAAAUAGAUUGUUACACUCAAAAAUGGCGACUGCAAGUAUUGCUUUUUAGCAAUACGUGACUCAAGAAAUAGAUCCAGCAAUAUUGCUUGAAACAGCAAGACUGCUGGGUGUUAUCCAGCCAGAACCUUGAAAACUGCAUAGUAACGCGAAGCAGGUAGACACAGACAUACUAUGAUUGCAUGGAUGAAAGUGUUUGCUUAUAUAGAUAUCACCAAUUGUGAAGU
RNAcentral lists this unclassified non-coding RNA (387 nucleotides) under Kalymmatonema gypsitolerans HTT-U-KK4. RNAcentral describes it as "16S-23S ribosomal RNA intergenic spacer". The record is from RNAcentral. Lineage: Bacteria; Bacillati; Cyanobacteriota; Cyanophyceae; Nostocales; Scytonemataceae.